UACGUAGGGUGCAGGCGUUAAUCGGAAUUACUGGGCGUAAAGCGUGCGCAGGCGGUCUAUUAAGACAGGUGUGAAAUCCCCGGGCUUAACCUGGGAACUGCGCUUGUAACUGAUAGGCUGGAGUGUGGCAGAGGGGGGUGGAAUUCCACGUGUAGCAGUGAAAUGCGUAGAGAUGUGGAGGAACACCGAUGGCGAAGGCAGCCCCCUGGGCUAACACUGACGCUGAGGCACGAAAGCGUGGGGAGCAAACAGG
RNAcentral lists this ribosomal RNA (253 nucleotides) under uncultured bacterium. RNAcentral describes it as "partial 16S ribosomal RNA". It matches the Rfam family "Bacterial small subunit ribosomal RNA", at positions 524 to 776 of the family's 1533-position model. The record is from RNAcentral.